This is a long non-coding RNA of Pygocentrus nattereri (red-bellied piranha), 316 nucleotides long. Lineage: Eukaryota; Metazoa; Chordata; Actinopteri; Characiformes; Serrasalmidae. The record is from Ensembl.
AUUCCCAUUUCAUUUGUGCAGUGGAAAGCCGGGGCAGCGGCAAAAGGAAAGGAGGGGGGGGGGCGGUGAAAAAAACAUCUCAGCACCUGCAUUACGUCACUAGAUGAUAUCUGUCCUUUUAGAACUCAGAACUCCCCCCAUACACACACACCACUCAGUGUACAGGUUAAUUCCAGGACUUAUAACCACAUUGUGUCAGGACAUUUAUAAAGGCCUUCUCAUCCUGCACAUCACUUCCUCCAGCCAUAUCCCCCUGGUAGAAGAUUUUGGGCCAUUAAAGACACCACAAGUAUACAUGUUAACAGGUGGAAAGUGA